This 465-nucleotide ribosomal RNA is filed under the name uncultured bacterium. Its description in RNAcentral is "partial 16S ribosomal RNA". It matches the Rfam family "Bacterial small subunit ribosomal RNA", at positions 338 to 795 of the family's 1533-position model. The record is from RNAcentral.
CCUACGGGAGGCAGCAGUGAGGAAUAUUGGUCAAUGGGCGAAAGCCUGACGCAGCGACGCCGCGUGAGGGAUGAAGGUCUUCGGAUCGUAAACCUCUGUCAGCAGGGAAGAAAGGUCACUGUGCUAAUCAGCAGUGAAUUGACGGUACCUGCAAAGGAAGCACCGGCUAACUCCGUGACAGCAGCCGCGGUAAUACGGAGGGUGCGAGCGUUAAUCGGAAUUACUGGGCGUAAAGGGCUCGUAGGCGGGAUGGCAAGUCAAGGGUGAAAUCCCCGCGCUCAACGUGGGAACUGCCUUUGAAACUGGCAAACUGGAGUGUGUGAGAGGAUAGUGGAAUUCCAGGUGUAGGAGUGAAAUCCGUAGAUAUCUGGAGGAACAUCAGUGGCGAAGGCGACUAUCUGGCACAUAACUGACGCUGAGGAGCGAAAGCGUGGGUAGCAAACAGGAUUAGAUACCCGAGUAGUC